Molecule: ribosomal RNA, 253 nt
Filed under: uncultured bacterium
Lineage: Bacteria
Description: partial 16S ribosomal RNA
Rfam family: Bacterial small subunit ribosomal RNA
Source: RNAcentral
UACAGAGGUGGCAAGCGUUGUUCGGAAUUACUGGGCGUAAAGGGCGCGUAGGCGGCCAACUAAGUCGGAUGUGAAAUCCCCAGGCUCAACCUGGGAACUGCAUCCGAUACUGGAUGGCUUGAAUUCGGGAGAGGGAUGCAGAAUUCCAGGUGUAGCGGUGAAAUGCGUAGAUAUCUGGAGGAAUACCGGUGGCGAAGGCGGCAUCCUGGACCGACAUUGACGCUGAUGAGCGAAAGCUAGGGGAGCAAACGGG